GCAUCGGUGGUUCAGUGGUAGAAUGCUCGCCUGCCACGCGGGCGGCCAGGGUUCGAUUCCCGUCUGAGGCA
Non-coding RNA from Cordylochernes scorpioides, 71 nucleotides. NCBI's taxonomy places the organism in Eukaryota, Metazoa, Arthropoda, Arachnida, Pseudoscorpiones, Chernetidae. The record is from the annotation of a GenBank genome assembly.